GGAUUAGAUACCCUGGUAGUCCACGCCGUAAACGAUGGAAGCUAGCCGUCAGGUUGUUUACAAUUUGGUGGCGCAGCUAACGCAUUAAGCUUCCCGCCUGGGGAGUACGGUCGCAAGAUUAAAACUCAAAGGAAUUGACGGGGGCCCGCACAAGCGGUGGAGCAUGUGGUUUAAUUCGACGCAACGCGCAGAACCUUACCAGCCCUUGACAUCCUGGUCGCGAUUUCCGGAGACGGAUUUCUUCAGUUCGGCUGGACCAGUGACAGGUGCUGCAUGGCUGUCGUCAGCUCGUGCCG
RNAcentral lists this ribosomal RNA (296 nucleotides) under uncultured bacterium. RNAcentral's name for it is "partial 16S ribosomal RNA". It matches the Rfam family "Bacterial small subunit ribosomal RNA", at positions 775 to 1067 of the family's 1533-position model. The record is from RNAcentral.